Molecule: ribosomal RNA, 508 nt
Filed under: uncultured bacterium
Lineage: Bacteria
Description: partial 16S ribosomal RNA
Rfam family: Bacterial small subunit ribosomal RNA
Source: RNAcentral
AUUGAACGCUGGCGGCAUGCCUUACACAUGCAAGUCGAACGGCAGCGGGGGAGAAGCUUGCUUUUCCUGCCGGCGAGUGGCGAACGGGUGAGUAAUACAUCGGAACGUGCCCUGUAGUGGGGGAUAACUAGUCGAAAGAUUAGCUAAUACCGCAUACGACCUGAGGGUGAAAGUGGGGGACCGCAAGGCCUCAUGCUAUAGGAGCGGCCGAUGUCUGAUUAGCUAGUUGGUGGGGUAAAGGCCUACCAAGGCGACGAUCAGUAGCUGGUCUGAGAGGACGAUCAGCCACACUGGGACUGAGACACGGCCCAGACUCCUACGGGAGGCAGCAGUGGGGAAUUUUGGACAAUGGGCGAAAGCCUGAUCCAGCAAUGCCGCGUGUGUGAAGAAGGCCUUCGGGUUGUAAAGCACUUUUGUCCGGAAAGAAAUGGCUCUGGCUAAUACCUGGGGUCGAUGACGGUACCGGAAGAAUAAGGACCGGCUAACUACGUGCCAGCAGCCGCAGUAA